This 324-nucleotide ribosomal RNA is filed under the name uncultured eukaryote. RNAcentral's name for it is "partial 18S ribosomal RNA". It matches the Rfam family "Eukaryotic small subunit ribosomal RNA", at positions 1470 to 1796 of the family's 1831-position model. The record is from RNAcentral.
CCCUUAGAUGUUCUGGGCCGCACGCGCGCUACACUGAUGCAUUCAACGAGUUUCUUCCUGGUCCGAGAGGAAUGGGUAACCUUUUGAAAGUGCAUCGUGAUAGGGAUAGACUAUUGCAAUUAUUGGUCUUCAACGAGGAAUUCCUAGUAGACGUAGUUCAUCAGACUGCAUCGAUUACGUCCCUGCCCUUUGUACACACCGCCCGUCGCUCCUACCGAUUGAAUGCUCAGGUGAGCCAUUCGGACCUUCAUCAUGCCGGUUUCCGGUUUUGAUGCGGGAAAGUCUUGCGAACCUUAUCAUUUAGAGGAAGGAGAAGUCGUAACA